Molecule: transfer RNA, 74 nt
Filed under: Marmota monax (woodchuck)
Lineage: Eukaryota; Metazoa; Chordata; Mammalia; Rodentia; Sciuridae
Description: tRNA.Ala
Source: RNAcentral
GCUGGAGAUGUAGCUGAGUGGUAGAGUACACACCUAGCAUGUGCGAGGCCCUGAGUUCAAUCCCAGGCACAGCA